Molecule: ribosomal RNA, 468 nt
Filed under: uncultured bacterium
Lineage: Bacteria
Description: partial 16S ribosomal RNA
Rfam family: Bacterial small subunit ribosomal RNA
Source: RNAcentral
GACGAACGCUGGCGGCGUGCUUAACACAUGCAAGUCGAACGGAAAGGCCCUGCUUUUGUGGGGUGCUCGAGUGGCGAACGGGUGAGUAACACGUGAGUAACCUGCCCUUGACUUUGGGAUAACUUCAGGAAACUGGGGCUAAUACCGGAUAGGAGCUCCUGCUGCAUGGUGGGGGUUGGAAAGUUUCGGCGGUUGGGGAUGGACUCGCGGCUUAUCAGCUUGUUGGUGGGGUAGUGGCUUACCAAGGCUUUGACGGGUAGCCGGCCUGAGAGGGUGACCGGCCACAUUGGGACUGAGAUACGGCCCAGACUCCUACGGGAGGCAGCAGUGGGGAAUAUUGCACAAUGGGCGGAAGCCUGAUGCAGCGACGCCGCGUGCGGGAUGACGGCCUUCGGGUUGUAAACCGCUGUCGCCUGUGACGAAGCGUGAGUGACGGUAAUGGGUAAAGAAGCACCGGCUAACUACGUG